Temnothorax curvispinosus is the source of this 744-nucleotide long non-coding RNA. RefSeq lists it as uncharacterized. The transcript has 3 exons. The record is from RefSeq and is a predicted model, not a curated record. Lineage: Eukaryota; Metazoa; Arthropoda; Insecta; Hymenoptera; Formicidae.
GCAAUUUUAUCUCGUACUGGACGUGACAAACAUGACAAAUCACGAAAAGGAAUUGCACUAUACGCAAAAUAAAUGUAUAUACAUGGAAGGUAAAGAACCAUGUAGAAUUCCUGUUCCAGUUGACCGAUGUCCACUUAAUAAAUUAUCUAUGUUAAAUGGUGCUGGUGAUGCAAGUGAACUCCAAAAAGUAUAUGCUGAACAUAUAGCUUCGUUGGUUGAUCUACGCUGGCAAUUACUAGGUACCGAGUCAACGGGAAAAGCAACUAUAUGGGCCGGUCUCACAGUCUCCGAUUAACGUGAUUCUCCGAUUAAACUCACUCUGAAUUUCUUUCUAACUAUCCCCCUAGAAAGAGACGAAGAGUGAGUUUAAUCGAAGAAUCUAGGGAGAAUCACGUUAAUCGGAGACUGUGAGACCGGCCCUAUCCGGCAUUACUUUAACUCAGGAUAUGUUAUAUCUGGUCAGAAUGAGUCCUCUACAGUGAGAAAUAACUAUCAACGAUAUUAUUGUAAAAGCACAAGAAGAACUGUCGUGUGCUUUGGGCGAAUGCAUAAGUGUUGGUGUGGGAGUGUGCAAUGCUCUGGAGCAUCCGCUGAGUGAUCUUACAUUGUCCAUUAAUUUCUAUCAGGACCAUCAUAAUGGAGUGAAUAAUUAUCAGUUGGAAACAAGAUUAUCCAGCUGGAGCAAAUAAGGUCAUGCUGCCUACUGUGUGUCACAACUUUAAUAAAUACAAUUUAUUAAUAUUA